Molecule: unclassified non-coding RNA, 1123 nt
Filed under: Hevea brasiliensis (rubber tree)
Lineage: Eukaryota; Viridiplantae; Streptophyta; Magnoliopsida; Malpighiales; Euphorbiaceae
Source: RNAcentral
GAUGUUUUAAGUUGUAUGACUAAUAAUAUAAUCAACCGAGUGACAAUAGGAAGGACAUACAAUGAAGGGGAAAGUGGAAGAGCUGUUAAGGCUCUAUUAGAAGAUCUUCUUGCACUUUUAGGUACUUUUAACAUUGGGGAGUAUAUUCCAUGGCUUAAAUGGCUCAAUAAAAUCAAUGGUCUUGACAACAGAGUGAAGAAAGUAGCUAAAGAUUUGGAUGCAUUUUUAGACAGCGUGAUUGAAGAACGCGUGGUUAGAAACAAAAAAGCAGAAAACAGUACGGGUGAGGCUAAAGAUUUCGUGGAUGUUUUGCUGGAAAUUCAGAAUGGAAACGAAACUGGCUUUCCGCUUCAAAGGGAUUCAUUGAAAGCUAUUCUCUUGGACUCGUUUAUUGCUGGUGUGGAUUCAAUAUAUACAACUUUAGAGUGGAUAAUGAUAGAGCUUUUGAGGAAUCCAAGAGCCAUGGAGAAAUUACAGAAUGAAGUGCGAGGAUUAGUCCAAGGGAAAGCAGAGAUAACAGAGGACGACUUAGGAAAUAUGUUGUAUCUCAAAGCAGUAAUCAAAGAGAGUCUCAGGCUUAAUCCACCGUUUCCAAUACCAGUUCCUCGAGAAUCAAUGGAAGACGUAAAAUUACUAGACUAUAACAUACCUGCUAAAACUCAAGUCCUUGUUAAUAUUUGGGCAAUCGGAAGAGACCCAUUAUCAUGGGAUGAACCAGAGGAGUACCGGCCUGAAAGAUUCUUGAAUAGUGAUAUUGAUUUCAGAGGACUAAACUUUGAGUUGAUUCCGUUCGGAGCUGGCAGGAGGGGUUGCCCAGGAAUUCCUUUUGCUAUUGUGAUAAUUGAGCUAACAUUAGCAAGGCUUGUGAACAAAUUUAAUUUUGCAUUACCACAAGGAAUAAAAAAAGAGGAUUUGGAUAUGAGUGAAUGCACUGGCAUCUCCAUUCGCAGGAAAUUGCCUUUACUAGCAGUGGCAACUCCGUGCAGUGUUUAGUUUUUUUCCUACAAUUUCUUAUAAUGACAUAAAAUAUAAAUAAGUAUAUAUGUAAUAAGUAGUAAACUACUUUUAGUUAGUAUUUUGAAACCCAUUGAAAAGGGCAGUGCGAGAGAAUUUCAGAAUUCAC